Molecule: ribosomal RNA, 468 nt
Filed under: uncultured bacterium
Lineage: Bacteria
Description: partial 16S ribosomal RNA
Rfam family: Bacterial small subunit ribosomal RNA
Source: RNAcentral
GACGAACGCUGACGGCGUGCUUAACACAUGCAAGUCGAACGGAAAGGCCCUGCUUUUGUGGGGUGCUCGAGUGGCGAACGGGUGAGUAACACGUGAGUAACCUGCCCUUGACUUUGGGUUAACUUCAGGAAACUGGGGCUAAUACCGGAUAGGAGCUCCUGCUGCAUGGUGGGGGUUGGAAAGUUUCGGCGGUUGGGGAUGGACUCGCGGCUUAUCAGCUUGUUGGUGGGGUAGUGGCUUACCAAGGCUUUGACGGGUAGCCGGCCUGAGAGGGUGACCGGCCACAUUGGGACUGAGAUACGGCCCAGACUCCUACGGGAGGCAGCAGUGGGGAAUAUUGCACAAUGGGCGGAAGCCUGAUGCAGCAACGCCGCGUGCGGGAUGACGGCCUUCGGGUUGUAAACCGCUUUCGCCUGUGACGAAGCGUGAGUGACGGUAAUGGGUAAAGAAGCACCGGCUAACUACGUG